Molecule: ribosomal RNA, 67 nt
Filed under: Thunbergia coccinea
Lineage: Eukaryota; Viridiplantae; Streptophyta; Magnoliopsida; Lamiales; Acanthaceae
Description: partial 5.8S ribosomal RNA
Source: RNAcentral
AAUUGCAGGAUCCCGUGAACCAUCGAGUCUUUGAACGCAAGUUGCGCCNGAAGCCAUUAGGCCGAGG